AGGAGAGCUGCCCAGAGGAGGAGAGAUCUUGCCCAGGCUUGUCAGGGUCUGAGAUGUGAUCUUCUGCCUUCUGCUUAGAAUUGUGGCUCAGUGGACGGCGAAGAUCCGUGGCAUCAUCGUAUGGAUAAAGUGGUCGUUCAUGGCCAAUAUCGUUCUGCGGGAGAAGCAGGAUCUCCUAACUGCCUCAACACUCACUCAUUCUUUGACGUGAGAACUUGAUGGAAUUCUCUCUACAUAAUGCUGAAGAGAUUCCUAGAACAAUACCCUGCAAUUCAAUCAGCCAGCUUGGCUCAACGGCUGAGAAAGCAUCUGGAGAGGGAUGGGAAGAGAUAGAUAGAUAGGUACUUUGUUGAUCCUGAGGGAAAUUUAAGAUCCAGUAGCUUAUACAACACACACAAGAAUAUAAGAAUAAAGACAAGAGUAUAAGAAUAAAAAAACAGAGCAGUAAAGUGAUAGUCUAGCCACCAGAACAAUUACAGAGAACUAUCACUAUAAUAGAAUAUGUACUAAUGGAGGUAAUGCAAAUGUUAGGUGAUUAACAGUACAGGUGUUGCAAAUGUAAGGUGAUCAAAAAGUAAAAAUAGUGCAAGAAUAAUGAUGACUGUGGAUAAUCUAAAAUUCAAAUUGAAGAUAAAUAUAUAAACAAAUGCAAAUUGUGCAUAAGCUAAGAGAGAACAGUGAAUUGUUAUAAUAUUAUGUAGGGAAUUUAAAGAUGAACAGGUAAACUCCCUUUUCAAAUAGCAAAAAAAGGCAACAUUAUUAGUCAAUAUUUUGAACUCAG
Thunnus maccoyii (southern bluefin tuna) is the source of this 781-nucleotide long non-coding RNA. RefSeq lists it as uncharacterized. The transcript has 3 exons. The record is from RefSeq and is a predicted model, not a curated record. Lineage: Eukaryota; Metazoa; Chordata; Actinopteri; Scombriformes; Scombridae.